CAGAAAGCAGCGAAGUCGCGAGGCGGAGCAAAUCUCAAAAACCGGUCCCAGUUCGGACUGCAGGCUGCAACCCGCCUGCACGAAGCCGGAGUUGCUAGUAAUCGCGAAUCAGAAUGUCGCGGUGAAUGCGUUCCCGGGUCUUGUACACACCGCCCGUCACACCAUGGAAGUUGGGGGGUGCCCAAAGCCGGCAAGCAAAUAUGCUGUCUAAGGCAAAACCAAUGACUGGGGUGAAGUCGUAACAAGGUACC
Molecule: ribosomal RNA, 251 nt
Filed under: uncultured bacterium
Lineage: Bacteria
Description: partial 16S ribosomal RNA
Rfam family: Bacterial small subunit ribosomal RNA
Source: RNAcentral